GCUCUCGGGUGACGAGUGGCGGACGGGUGAGUAAUGUCUGGGAAACUGCCUGAUGGAGGGGGAUAACUACUGGAAACGGUAGCUAAUACCGCAUAACGUCGCAAGACCAAAGAGGGGGACCUUCGGGCCUCUUGCCAUCAGAUGUGCCCAGAUGGGAUUAGCUAGUAGGUGGGGUAACGGCUCACCUAGGCGACGAUCCCUAGCUGGUCUGAGAGGAUGACCAGCCACACUGGAACUGAGACACGGUCCAGACUCCUACGGGAGGCAGCAGUGGGGAAUAUUGCACAAUGGGCGCAAGCCUGAUGCAGCCAUGCCGCGUGUAUGAAGAAGGCCUUCGGGUUGUAAAGUACUUUCAGCGGGGAGGAAGGCGAUAAGGUUAAUAACCUUGUCGAUUGACGUUACCCGCAGAAGAAGCACCGGCUAACUCCGUGCCAGCAGCCGCGGUAAUACGGAGGGUGCAAGCGUUAAUCGGAAUUACUGGGCGUAAAGCGCACGCAGGCGGUCUGUCAAGUCGGAUGUGAAAUCCCCGGGGCUCAACCUGGGAACUGCAUUCGAAACUGGCAGGCUAGAGUCUUGUAGAGGGGGGUAGAAUUCCAGGUGUAGCGGUGAAAUGCGUAGAGAUCUGGAGGAAUACCGGUGGCGAAGGCGGCCCCCUGGACAAAGACUGACGCUCAGGUGCGAAAGCGUGGGGAGCAAACAGGAUUAGAUACCCUGGUAGUCCACGCCGUAAACGAUGUCGACUUGGAGGUUGUGCCCUUGAGGCGUGGCUUCCGGAGCUAACGCGUUAAGUCGACCGCCUGGGGAGUACGGCCGCAAGGUUAAAACUCAAAUGAAUUGACGGGGGCCCGCACAAGCGGUGGAGCAUGUGGUUUAAUUCGAUGCAACGCGAAGAACCUUACCUACUCUUGACAUCCAGAGAACUUUCCAGAGAUGGAUUGGUGCCUUCGGGAACUCUGAGACAGGUGCUGCAUGGCUGUCGUCAGCUCGUGUUGUGAAAUGUUGGGUUAAGUCCCGCAACGAGCGCAACCCUUAUCCUUUGUUGCCAGCGGUUAGGCCGGGAACUCAAAGGARACUGCCAGUGAUAAACUGGAGGAAAAGGGKGGGGAUGACGUCAAGUCAUCAUGGCCCUUACGAGUAGGGCUACACACGUGCUACAAUGGCGCAUACAAAGAGAAGCGACCUCGCGAGAGCAAGCGGACCUCAUAAAGUGCGUCGUAGUCCGGAUUGGAGUCUGCAACUCGACUCCAUGAAGUCGGAAUCGCUAGUAAUCGUGGAUCAGAAUGCCACGGUGAAUAC
RNAcentral lists this ribosomal RNA (1296 nucleotides) under Enterobacter sp. D6C9. RNAcentral describes it as "bacterial SSU rRNA". It matches the Rfam family "Bacterial small subunit ribosomal RNA", at positions 78 to 1369 of the family's 1533-position model. The record is from RNAcentral. Lineage: Bacteria; Pseudomonadati; Pseudomonadota; Gammaproteobacteria; Enterobacterales; Enterobacteriaceae.